GACGAACCGUGCGAACGUUGUUCGGAAUCACUGGGCUUAAAGGGCGCGUAGGCGGUCUGCCAAGUCGGUGGUGAAAUCUUUCGGCUUAACCGGAAAAGUGCCAACGAUACUGGCGGACUUGAGGGAGGUAGGGGCAGAUGGAACUUCCGGUGGAGCGGUGAAAUGUGUUGAUAUCGGAAGGAACGCCGGUGGCGAAAGCGAUCUGCUGGACCUCUACUGACGCUGAGGCGCGAAAGCCAGGGGAGCAAACGGG
RNAcentral lists this unclassified non-coding RNA (253 nucleotides) under Gemmataceae bacterium. RNAcentral describes it as "partial 16S ribosomal RNA". It matches the Rfam family "Bacterial small subunit ribosomal RNA", at positions 524 to 776 of the family's 1533-position model. Lineage: Bacteria; Pseudomonadati; Planctomycetota; Planctomycetia; Gemmatales; Gemmataceae. The record is from RNAcentral. RNAcentral also lists the same sequence under 1 other name.